Molecule: ribosomal RNA, 433 nt
Filed under: uncultured bacterium
Lineage: Bacteria
Description: partial 16S ribosomal RNA
Rfam family: Bacterial small subunit ribosomal RNA
Source: RNAcentral
AACGAACGCUGGCGGCAUGCCUAACACAUGCAAGUCGAACGAGACCUUCGGGUCUAGUGGCGCACGGGUGCGUAACGCGUGGGAACCUGCCCUUAGGUUCGGAAUAACUCCCCUAAAGGGGUGCUAAUACCGGAUAAUGUCUUCGGACCAAGGAUUUAUCGCCUUUGGGUGGGCCCGCGUUGGUUUAGCUAGUUGGUAGGGUAAAAGCCUACCAAGGCGACGAUCCAUAGCUGGUCUGAGAGGAUGAUCAGCCACACUGGGACUGAGACACGGCCCAGACUCCUACGGGAGGCAGCAGUGGGGAAUAUUGGACAAUGGGCGAAAGCCUGAUCCAGCAAUGCCGCGUGAGUGAUGAAGGCCUUAGGGUUGUAAAGCUCUUUUACCCGGGAUGAUAAUGACAGUACCGGGAGAAUAAGCACCGGCUAACUCCGUG